This 484-nucleotide ribosomal RNA is filed under the name uncultured bacterium. RNAcentral describes it as "partial 16S ribosomal RNA". It matches the Rfam family "Bacterial small subunit ribosomal RNA", at positions 30 to 507 of the family's 1533-position model. The record is from RNAcentral.
AUUGAACGCUGGCGGCAGGCCUAACACAUGCAAGUCGAGCGGAUGAAGGGAGCUUGCUCCUGGAUUCAGCGGCGGACGGGUGAGUAAUGCCUAGGAAUCUGCCUUGUAGUGGGGUAUAACGUCCGUAAACGGGCGCUAAUACCGCAUACGUCCUGAUGGAGAAAGUGGUGGAUCUUCGGACCUCACGCUAUCAGAUGAGCCUAGGUCGGAUUAGCUAGUUGGUGGGGUAAAGGCCUACCAAGGCGACGAUCCGUAACUGGUCUGAGAGGAUGAUCAGUCACACUGGAACUGAGACACGGUCCAGACUCCUACGGGAGGCAGCAGUGGGGAAUAUUGGACAAUGGGCGAAAGCCUGAUCCAGCCAUGCCGCGUGUGUGAAGAAGGUCUUCGGAUUGUAAAGCACUUUAAGUUGGGAGGAAGGGCAGUAAGUUAAUAUCUUGAUGUUUUGACGUUACCAACAGAAUAAGCCACGGCUAACUUCGUG